GCCGGCGUAGCUCAGUGGUAGAGCAAUGGUUUCGUAAACCAUCGGUCGGAGGUUCGACUCCUCUCGCCGGCU
RNAcentral lists this transfer RNA (72 nucleotides) under Thermotogota bacterium. RNAcentral's name for it is "tRNA-Thr". It matches the Rfam family "tRNA". From Rfam's summary of the family: Transfer RNA (tRNA) molecules are approximately 80 nucleotides in length. Their secondary structure includes four short double-helical elements and three loops (D, anti-codon, and T loops). RNAcentral also lists the same sequence under 3 other names. Lineage: Bacteria; Thermotogati; Thermotogota. The record is from RNAcentral.